UCAAUGUAUUAUCAGGAAACGUGUCU
This 26-nucleotide non-coding RNA is filed under the name Homo sapiens (human). The record is from RNAcentral. Lineage: Eukaryota; Metazoa; Chordata; Mammalia; Primates; Hominidae.